RNAcentral lists this long non-coding RNA (489 nucleotides) under Numida meleagris (helmeted guineafowl). Its description in RNAcentral is "lncRNA (ENSNMEG00000007058.1)". Lineage: Eukaryota; Metazoa; Chordata; Aves; Galliformes; Numididae. The record is from RNAcentral.
CAGAGCCUAGAUAUUAUAAACCACAACAAACAACUAAAUGGUGCUGCUCUCUUUGUGAUAUACGCUCUACAGUUGAGCUCAGUCUGGAUCUCUUGAUCUUCUCAACCCAUUCUGUUGCAGAAACAGCUGUCACGACCUUUCCAAAAAUCACACAGGACCAGCAUCCUUCAUCCUUGCAAUCCAUCGGUGAAGAUCCCAACAAGCUGAACUCUCUGGCAUCAGUACCCUGUGUCCUUGUGGGCUGCUUUGAAAAGCCUCACUGGCUCACGUAUCCACGAGGUGUGGAUGGACGUAUGGCUCCCUAAGCCAUUACGCAUACUUACAGACCCAACAAGGAGGAGGAAAAGCUCUGAAGAACUUCAGUUUCUGAAGUUUAAACUGCCAAGAAAGAGUGAUCAUUUUCCGCUUGAUUUGCUUCUGUCUUCUGCUCAAAGAUGCACUGUCUUCUCCUGCUGCCCCAAAGAAUAUCGAUCAUCAUCCAAAGCCUGA